RNAcentral lists this ribosomal RNA (433 nucleotides) under uncultured bacterium. Its description in RNAcentral is "partial 16S ribosomal RNA". It matches the Rfam family "Bacterial small subunit ribosomal RNA", at positions 29 to 507 of the family's 1533-position model. The record is from RNAcentral.
AACGAACGCUGGCGGCAUGCCUAACACAUGCAAGUCGAACGAGACCUUCGGGUCUAGUGGCGCACGGGUGCGUAACGCGUGGGAACCUGCCCUUAGGUUCGGAAUAACUCCCCGAAAGGGGUGCUAAUACCGGAUAAUGUCUUCGGACCAAAGAUUUAUCGCCUUUGGAUGGGCCCGCGUUGGAUUAGCUAGUUGGUAGGGUAAAAGCCUACCAAGGCGACGAUCCAUAGCUGGUCUGAGAGGAUGAUCAGCCACACUGGGACUGAGACACGGCCCAGACUCCUACGGGAGGCAGCAGUGGUGAAUAUUGGACAAUGGGCGAAAGCCUGAUCCAGCAAUGCCGCGUGAGUGAUGAAGGCCUUAGGGUUGUAAAGCUCUUUUACCCGGGAUGAUAAUGACAGUACCGGGAGAAUAAGCUCCGGCUAACUCCGUG